RNAcentral lists this transfer RNA (71 nucleotides) under Caudoviricetes sp. Its description in RNAcentral is "tRNA-Arg". It matches the Rfam family "tRNA". From Rfam's summary of the family: Transfer RNA (tRNA) molecules are approximately 80 nucleotides in length. Their secondary structure includes four short double-helical elements and three loops (D, anti-codon, and T loops). Lineage: Duplodnaviria; Heunggongvirae; Uroviricota; Caudoviricetes. The record is from RNAcentral.
GGCAGGAUAGAGAAAUGGUAUCUUCCUGGUUUCCUUAGCCAGAGAUGGUGGUUCGACUCCGCCUCCUGCAA